Molecule: ribosomal RNA, 995 nt
Filed under: uncultured bacterium
Lineage: Bacteria
Description: bacterial SSU rRNA
Rfam family: Bacterial small subunit ribosomal RNA
Source: RNAcentral
UGGGGAAUAUUGCACAAUGGGGGAAACCCUGAUGCAGCGACGCCGCGUGGAGGAAGAAGGUCUUCGGAUUGUAAACUCCUGUUGUUGGGGAAGAUAAUGACGGUACCCAACAAGGAAGUGACGGCUAACUACGUGCCAGCAGCCGCGGUAAAACGUAGGUCACAAGCGUUGUCCGGAAUUACUGGGUGUAAAGGGAGCGCAGGCGGGAAGACAAGUUGGAAGUGAAAUCUAUGGGCUCAACCCAUAAACUGCUUUCAAAACUGUUUUUCUUGAGUAGUGCAGAGGUAGGCGGAAUUCCCGGUGUAGCGGUGGAAUGCGUAGAUAUCGGGAGGAACACCAGUGGCGAAGGCGGCCUACUGGGCACCAACUGACGCUGAGGCUCGAAAGUGUGGGUAGCAAACAGGAUUAGAUACCCUGGUAGUCCACACCGUAAACGAUGAUUACUAGGUGUUGGAGGAUUGACCCCUUCAGUGCCGCAGUUAACACAAUAAGUAAUCCACCUGGGGAGUACGACCGCAAGGUUGAAACUCAAAGGAAUUGACGGGGGCCCGCACAAGCAGUGGAGUAUGUGGUUUAAUUCGACGCAACGCGAAGAACCUUACCAAGUCUUGACAUCCUGCGACGAUGCUAGAAAUAGUAUUUUCCUUCGGGACGCAGAGACAGGUGGUGCAUGGUUGUCGUCAGCUCGUGUCGUGAGAUGUUGGGUUAAGUCCCGCAACGAGCGCAACCCUUAUGGUCAGUUACUACGCAAGAGGACUCUGGCCAGACUGCCGUUGACAAAACGGAGGAAGGUGGGGAUGACGUCAAAUCAUCAUGCCCUUUAUGACUUGGGCUACACACGUACUACAAUGGCGUUAAACAAAGAGAAGCAAGACCGCGAGGUGGAGCAAAACUCAGAAACAACGUCCCAGUUCGGACUGCAGGCUGCAACUCGCCUGCACGAAGUCGGAAUUGCUAGUAAUCGUGGAUCAGCAUGCCACGGUGAAUACGUUCCC